UACCAAACAGUUUUGACAUUCAAUGUGAAGAAAAGUUGAGUUCGGAUCGAUAGUCCAUAUUUUUUCUCGAUUUUUGCAUAGAAAUCUGUUCCGGAACGCCUGGGAAUUCGACAGGAUGAACCGUGCGCAGGUGGCCAACCUGCUUGAGGAGCUGAAAAAGUCCCCAGAUAAAGCUACCGUCUACCGGAGACUGGUACGUGUACGAACGGAGGUCAUCAACACGGAAGCAGGGACGGAACUUUUCUUCGAGCUGGACGGGAUUCGUCUGCUGGUGAGCCUGCUGGCGAAACCGUACGAAAAGGUGCUGGAAGUGGUUCUUAGCAUCCUCGGGAACUGUUGCGUACGGAAGGAGUGUGCUAGACAGGCAUUUGAAGAGGGAAUCCUAACGCCCCUGAUCUCCAUUAUAGCCAAUAUACCGAAUCCAGCUAUUCAGUGCCGCGGUUGUCGAUUACUGGGUAAUUUAGCACAAUUUCCGGUAAUAAUGCACUCCAUUGGGAAAAAUAGUAGCAGUAAUACAACGUACGCUCUAACGUCAAUACUUACCGAUUCGAACAACACUGCCGUUCUGAUAAUGUCCAUUCGGGCCAUAAGACAGAUGUGGAAUGAGAGAACAGUUCGUAAUCUAUUAAUUGGCCAGGGAUGCAUAAAAAAAAUUGUCGAUUUGCUUGUCAAAUUUGCACGAAAUGAAGCCAAGGCUUUGGAAUCUGUAGAAAGUCCCACCGAUGAGGAAACGCUUGGGGAAGAGACGGAGAAGGUUGUAAUCAAGCGCUUGCACGCCCCCGACCGUACCAUAACUAAGGAGAAAUUCAAGAACAUUGUGCGACAUAUGGAGAACAGUCAUCAUUGCGACAUUGUAGGUUAUCAGUUGAUUCAAAGCUACCGAUGGAGAGAUUCUCAAGAUUUUAAGAUGCCGGAGGCAAAGGAGACGGUAGAGCUGUUCAUCGGGAUUCUGAAAUGUCUACAAACCAUAACAUCUACGAUCAGUGCUCAGGUGGCCGAUCAACUAUACGGUGAGCAGGGCUGCGGCAUGAAAUGUUUGGUGUUCCUUUGCUCCGAGAGCAGUCAGUUUCGAACGUUGGCACUGAAAAUUGUGUAUCAUUUGGCAUCAAAUCCCGAUGCUAUCGCGAAGCUGACCGCCUGCGAUGUGAUAACGAUGGCAUCGGACCUCAUAAUGUAUGCUAAUUUAGAUGAUUCAGAGAAGCGUUAUUGCAUUAGUGUGAUAUGCCUGCUAGCCAAGGAAGCGUGCAAUCGAGGUCAUAUUCGACGCAGCGGUGCCCUGCAAACCCUAAUGAAAUUAGCCAAACAGUGCAAAGAAAGUCACGAACUUAGCAUAAUCCUAUACGCCCUUUAUCAGUACCGAUUUGAUAAUCUAAGCUACGAGAUUCUACUCAAUAAUGGUCUAGUGAGCUUCCUGGUAGGGGUUCUCAAUAACAUCAUUGCCGAGAAGGAAGUGCACCACAUCAAACACGACGAUGAGGAAACAAUGAAUACCAGUGUGUUCUCGAAACGAAAAUCUAGCAGCCAAAAAGCGAAACUGAAGCGAAGUGAUGAAUUAUUUAACUUUAAAACAUCUAGCUAUUAUCAGCAUUCAAAGGUGGCUAAAAUUGAUCCCUAUGGAUCGGCACCGGAAUCGCCGGAAAGUGGUAGCAGUGGAUAUGCCAGCACCAGCUACAAUGGCAUGCGAAACCCGUUCAGCAACAAUUCAAGUCCUGCCAGGACAGACGAGGGUAACGAAUUCGAGGACGAUGAUAUAUAUUCGCCCAUAUGUAGCGACGCCGAAGAAGACACAGAAAACAUUGCAACCUCUGACGAAAAAAAUCUCGCUGAACCAGAUACGGUCGACGAUAAUACCGAAGAUGCUAAAACCAGCAGUGAAUUCGACAUUCUAACAUACUUGUACGAUGACAACUCCAACACGAAUCUAAUGUCUGCCCCGGAUCUUAAUCGGGACGAAGAAGAACCGCUCAAUCAACAAGAGUCCCGAAAACGCAAUAACUGCAGCUUCGACGAUGCAAUUGACGACAACGAGAUCCAUGACAUUGAAUUAGAAAUUGUUUCCUCGAAGGCAUUCGAAAAGAAUCCAAUGCAACCAAUUCUAACGCUGCUAUGGUCGAUCUCGAAAUCCCACAAAGGAUUGGAAUUCGUUCAUCCGGGAACGUUGGCCACAUUGCUGAAGAUUUGCAAACAAACGAAGAAGCCAAGAGGACGCGCCUUCCAGAUUAUAGCGAACAUCAUCAAGCAUGUAGACCACUUUUUGCCCUUGUUAAAACAGGACUUUGUGUUUCGAUUAUAUGAAUGUAAACUGCCGUACAAUUCCCACACAAGGUGUUGGAGCUGUGAUGAGAUGAAAUCCGUGUGUAUUGAGCUGAUGACCCUGUUCGGAAACAUUUCGGAAACCGGCUAUGGCCAAGGGGAGAUUGCUCACAUACUUCGCACCGGGGAGCGCACUCUGCAGUUGCAAGUCUCCAUAAUUGUGCUUUACGUCGUCCGCGAUACCAAAUUACUCCAUAAGCUACUCUACGAUAUGAAAAUUUUGAAAACUGUGAUGAACAUUAUCCUCAAUGAAAACGACGACGAAGAGGAGGAACUGUACGAACAGCGAUUGAGCGUAGCCGCGUGUUCCGGUUUGACUACAUUGGCUCAGAAUCUGUGCAUCUGCGGCGAGGAAGAAGAUACCGGAACGCCUAGCGAAAUGCUGGUAGCCAAAGAGUUCGAUAACACGCUGACGAUUUGCAAUGAGAACAGCAACGAGGAGAAGGUCACGUUCAAGGUGACCAAUGCUAGUGGAACGAUCGACAGCGUUAGAGUGAGUAAGAACUUGUUGAUCCAGGGAAGCGAUGUGUUCCAGCGGAUGUUUGAUGGGGACCACUUCAUCGAAUCGAAAAAUAAUGAAGUUUUUCUGAAGGAAGAUAUCAGUGUGGACGGCUUGAAGUAUUUCUUCUACUUGAUAAGGCUGCAGACGGUGAAUAAGUUGACGGGAAUGGCCCCUCCACCGAAGGUCAUCGAAGCUAGUCUGGACGCACUGAGUUUAUCGCAGAAAUAUCUGCUACCGGCAGUGGAGCGGUCGGUUCAAAAUAUUGUCAAAACCUUGCUGAAUGAUGACUGUGUGUUGAACGUAUUCGAAUGGUCAUUGAAAAACUACAACCAAGAAUUACUGGUUGCGUCAACCUACUACUUCUUAUAUUCGGACAUUAGCGGAGCAACCAAAUGCAAACUGUUCCGAUCAGCGAAUAAGUCCGUCUAUCGAAAAGAGUGGCGAAGGCUAAUGGACGAGACCAUCCUGUGUCGAGUGCAAACUAACGCGGAAUAGAGAACUGAUUUUUUUUUGCAGCUGCAGGUCUGGUGCUGUGCUUAUUUAAUUCGUCUUCGUUAAGUGAAAAUUCUAAUAAAUUGUCUCGAAAGUGAGAACUGCAAGGAAGACAUAUUAUUUGGCUUAUUCGGUUAUUUGAGGUUCUUAGAAAUAUCCCUGAAACGCCGCCAGUAUCCUAAGAUGCUCCCAUGCCCGCUCCCGUUUACUGCAUUGAUCAUCAGGCAAGGACGACGCUAUAAUACAGAACGCCGAAAAAACGACCGGGCUCGCGACCGAGCGGGACAUGGAAUCAUGGAAUCGGAAGAUAAUAUGUAGUUCCGGUACCCAUUUGUGUCCGACGAAAACAUCAUCAUGCAUUGUAUAAAGAACUACUCUGCGAACCCCGACGAAUGCAUGGAUUUUUCCAGCCGCCUUGGCGAAUGAGAGCUUGCACUAUUUUAUAAAGAAAUAAUUAAAAUAAUAAAAUUCAUAAACUUCA
Molecule: RNA transcript, 3788 nt
Organism: Armigeres subalbatus
Lineage: Eukaryota; Metazoa; Arthropoda; Insecta; Diptera; Culicidae
Gene: Rnb
Exons: 6
Source: RefSeq, a predicted model, not a curated record